CGCGGAGAUGGGAUUAGAGAAGGAGGCGAGGAGAUGGGAUUAGAGAAGGAGGCGAGAUGGGAUUAGAGGAGGAGGCGAGAUGGGAUUAGAGGAGGAGGAAGCGAGGAGAUGGGAUUAGAGAAGGAGGCGAGAUGGGAUUAGAGGAGGAGGCGAGAUGGGAUUAGAGGAGGAGGAAGCGAGGAGAUGGGAUUAGAGGAGGAGGCGAGGAGAUGGGAUUAGAGGAGGUGGCGAGGAGAUGGGAUUAGAGAAGGAGGAGGUGCGGAGAUGGGAUUAGAGGAGGAGGCGCGGAGAUGGGAUUAGAGAAGGAGGCGAGGAGAUGGGAUUAGAGAAGGAGGCGAGAUGGGAUUAGAGGAGGAGGCGAGAUGGGAUUAGAGGAGGAGGAAGCGAGGAGAUGGGAUUAGAGGAGGAGGCGAGGAGAUGGGAUUAGAGGAGGUGGCGAGGAGAUGGGAUUAGAGGAGGAGGCGAGGAGAUGGGAUUAGAGGAGGAGGCGAGGAGAUGGGAUUAGAGAAGGUGGCGAGGAGAUGGGAUUAGAGAAGGAGGUGGCGAGGAGAUGGGAUUAGAGGAGGAGGCGAGAUGGGAUUAGAGGAGGAGGAAGCGAGGAGAUGGGAUUAGAGGAGGAGGAGGCGCGGAGAUGGGAUUAGAGGAGGAGGCGAGGAGAUGGGAUUAGAGGAGGAGGCGAGGAGAUGGGAUUAGAGGCGCGGAGAUGGGAUUAGAGGAGGCGAGGCGAUGGGAUUAGAGGAGGAGGAGGCACAGAGAUGGGAUUAGAGAAGGAGGCGAGGAGAUGGGAUUAGAGGAGGAGGAGGCGCGAAAAUGGGAUUAGAGGAGGAGGAGGCGCGGAGAUGGGAUUAGAGAAGGAGGCGAGGAGAUGGGAUUAGAGGAGGCGAGGAGAUGGGAUUAGAGAAGGAGGCGAGGAGAUGGGAUUAGAGAAGGAGGCGAGGAGAUGGGACUAGAGGAGGCGAGGAGAUGGGAUUAGAGAAGGAGGCGAGGAGAUGGGAUUAGAGAAGGAGGCGAGGAGAUGGGAUUAGAGAAGGAGGCGAGGAGAUGGGACUAGAGGAGGCGAGGAGAUGGGACUAGAGGAGGCGAGGAGAUGGGAUUAGAGGAGGCAAGGAGAUGGGAUUAGAGGAGGAGGCGAGGAGAUGGGACUAGAGGAGGCGAGGAGAUGGGACUAGAGGAGGCGAGGAGAUGGGAUUAGAGGAGGCAAGGAGAUGGGAUUAGAGGAGGCAAGGAGAUGGGAGAACUGACAGAAAGGUGAAAUGACAACCAUUAGAGCUCCAAGGUGAAUCUGGUUGAGGAGCCUAGGUAUGACAUGGUCACAAAAAUGUAUAGAAAAAUAACCUAUAUCUUGGUCCCGUGUUCCAACAAGCAAAUCUCUUCUACAUCAAUAAGUAAAACAUUUGCACUUUAAAAGGUCCAGUAUAGCCAAAAAUGUGGUUUUUCCUGUGUUUUAUUAAAUUCCCACACUAUGAGCUUGAAAUAAUAUUAUGACAAUGCCCUUUUAGUAUUAGAGCUGUUUGAAAUGACAGCCUGAUGUGGUGGGAAGGAGUUUGUCUUCCACGGUGACAUCACCAGGCAGUAAAUCUGGUAAUAGAUCAAUAAGAAAGAGUUGUAAACCGCUCUGCCAACAGUUCAUUCUCAGUAUUCCUCUCCCUAGACAGCCCAAUUCAAAUCCUUGCUUUGCGAGGAAGCUAUUUUUUUUACCAUUUUAAUUUAAAGCAAUGACAGUAAGGUACUUAAAAGGGAAACUCCACCCCAAAAAUAUUUUGGUAUUUCUUUCAUUAGUCUAUUGUUGAUUUAGUCCCAAAAUGUUUUGCAUGUCAGCAAUCAAGUUUAAAAUAUAACUUUCAAAAUAUAGAAAUACAGCCGGUAUUAUGCAUUUA
This 1877-nucleotide long non-coding RNA is filed under the name Salmo salar (Atlantic salmon). RNAcentral's name for it is "lncRNA (ENSSSAG00000086104.1)". Lineage: Eukaryota; Metazoa; Chordata; Actinopteri; Salmoniformes; Salmonidae. The record is from RNAcentral.